RNAcentral lists this ribosomal RNA (220 nucleotides) under uncultured bacterium. RNAcentral's name for it is "partial 16S ribosomal RNA". It matches the Rfam family "Bacterial small subunit ribosomal RNA", at positions 524 to 743 of the family's 1533-position model. The record is from RNAcentral.
UACGUAGGGUGCAAGCGUUAAUCGGAAUUACUGGGCGUAAAGCGUGCGCAGGCGGUUAUGUAAGACAGAUGUGAAAUGCCCGGGCUUAACCUGGGAACUGCAUUUGUGACUGCAUGGCUAGAGUGUGUCAGAGGGGGGUAGAAUUCCACGUGUAGCAGUGAAAUGCGUAGAGAUGUGGAGGAAUACCGAUGGCGAAGGCAGCCCCCUGGGAUAACACUGA